UGAUAGUACACUUCUUUGAAAGAUAAGUAUGACACCUCUGUUCAUUAUCCUGCUUAUGGCUACAGUUGCAAUUUGUCCAUCUUCUUCUUUAGUAAAGAGAGAUCAUCACACUUGCGAUAACAGGGGCAAAUCAUGUCUGAACGAUAGAGAAUGUUGUCCAGAUGAGAGGUGCGUAGUGAUUCUACCGAACAUACGUUGCAUAAGAGCACCCUGUGGAACUGCGUGUGUGAAACG
Long non-coding RNA from Centruroides sculpturatus (bark scorpion), 234 nucleotides. RefSeq lists it as uncharacterized. The record is from RefSeq and is a predicted model, not a curated record. Lineage: Eukaryota; Metazoa; Arthropoda; Arachnida; Scorpiones; Buthidae. The transcript is spliced from 4 exons.